Molecule: long non-coding RNA, 316 nt
Filed under: Elaeis guineensis (African oil palm)
Lineage: Eukaryota; Viridiplantae; Streptophyta; Magnoliopsida; Arecales; Arecaceae
Description: long non-coding RNA (EGUI_LNC067182)
Source: RNAcentral
UGGGACCUGUGGGUUAUGACAUGAUAUUAUAUGUAUAUAGAUCUAUAAUUUAAUUUAGAUUAGAUCUGAUAUAUGAUAUUUAUAUCUAAAAUUAGCUAUAGAUCUGAUCGCACAAACUGACAUAAGAUUGUCCUGCUAUAAGGUUUACCCCUUACAGUGCAAAGAUUGUCCUAGUUUGUACUGAUUUUUAUAAAAUCUGAUUUUAAUUUAAAAUAUAUAAAAUUUAUUUAUAAUAAUUAUUAUCUAAUUUUAAUAUGAUCAAAAUAUAAUAAUCAGAUCUGAAAUAAUUUAGAUUAGAUCUAAAUUAUAUAGAUUA